Long non-coding RNA from Bos taurus (domestic cattle), 2305 nucleotides. Lineage: Eukaryota; Metazoa; Chordata; Mammalia; Artiodactyla; Bovidae. The record is from Ensembl.
GAGGGACGGGGGAUGCCUCGGGCUGAUGAGGGAGAGCCGCCAGGUGGUAUGGAGUUGCAUUCACCUUGCCAAGGACCUGCAGGUGAGCAGCUUCAUAAAUGGGGAGGGCAGAGCGAGUCUCCAAAAGACGCACAGGAGAGGCCCCGGAGGGAGUCUGCUGUAGACGCCUGCCCAGUCCACAGUGCCCAAACUCAGCUACCUCGAUAGGACUCAUCAAGUGAGGACACUGAGCCUCAGGAAGGCAGGACGGAUUCUUCCAAGGAUAUGCUGCUGCUGCUGCUGCUGCGUCGCUUCAGUCGUGUCCGACUCUGUGCGACCCCAUAGACGGCAGCCCACCAGGCUCCCCUGUCCCUGGGAUUCUCCAGGCAAGAACACUGGAGUGGGUUGCCAUUUCCUUCUCCAGUGCAUGAAAGUGAAAAGUGAAAGUGAAGUGGCUCAGUUGUCUCCGACUCUUAGCGACCCCAUGGACUGCAGCCUUCCAGGCUCCUCUGUCCAUGGGAUUUUCCAGGUUAUCAUCAUCUGUCAGAUCUGAACUUAAACAACAAGAAACAUGUCAGGCUCUGCUGCAGCAAGGGGGAACACUAGGGCAGAAAGAGGCUGAAACUGAGGACCAGGCUGGUAAGAAGAUUGACAGUGACAGUGAAAACGAUCAAGACUCUGUCUGCCAAGUUUGCAGGUUCCUAUUCCACUCUCUCCUGAUUUCCAAGGCUCGGUUUCUGAGCGCCUAUAGGCAGAAAGAAGAGUUGAGGAGCCCGGAAUGUUCACCAGUAUUGCAUUUCUUCCAACCAACGUUUCUGCGUAUACAUCAGUGCCAGCGGACUGGCUUGCUGCGAGGCAGGUGGCCGCGGCAGAACCGGUUGGGAUGAGUUACGGCACCACCUCGGAUUCUGGGAUUCCCGCACUACUUUGCGGCUCUUCCUGCGCUCCAGAGCGCUCCUUUGAAACGAGCGCAAAAGGCACAAAUUUUGAGUAGCUAAACUCGUUUGCCCGAGACAGCAGCGCUUAGACAGACAAGCCGGGAGCGGAGAGCUUGCCUUGCUCCCCGUGGGUACGCUGCCAAAGUGGCGCUUGAUCGUUAGUGAAAAAAAAAAAAGACGGAGCGAUAUGGCUCAGUCCGGCGUUUGCAGGGGGAAGCAGACGAUUGCGAGUGAAGGCCCCAUGAGUCCAGCUCCGCCUGGACUACGCGGCUCCCCACCUCUGGCGGCCGCGGCUCCUGUUCCCCAGGACGUGCUCGCAGUUCCAACCUCUAAUCCUAGUCCUCAGCUGGCGCAGGCUGGCUGAAGGAUCGCGCAACUAGGCGGAAUGUGUUGACUCCAUCCUCCAGGGGAAUUCAGAUUGGACUGAAAGGAAAAAAUUUCCCAGACCUGGGCAGCAGCAGUCGCCGAUGAAACUGACCUUCAUGACACUGACCAGAGAUAAACCUCUUGGCAUGAGACAGCCUGGCACACCACUGAUCACUCGGUUGGGGACUAGGGACAAGCAGCCCACUACCACGAAAUUUACCAGCGUGUACUUAAAGAGAAAACCCGAGAUGCCUAAAACAGAUGGGUGCACAACAGAACACUGUUCACUGUUAACCGACCACCUGAAACCGUUCUCAGUGAGGCUACCCUGAAAUUAACUUGACUGGGUGAAAGGAACCAGAAUGAAAUCCACCUGCCUGUUAACACAGCCACUUACCCACAGCAAGAGAUUGGAGCAGAGGCUGAAGAGUGCGGCGGGGUGGAGCCGGGAGGGGGCUAGUCUCUGGGUGCUCCUGAGAACCUGACUGGUGCCGCUGCGGGGAUUGGGGGAGGGGGUUGUCCAGUGCUUUUUAAUUUACGACCGCCGCGCCCCAAGCCAUCCCAUAAAUUUGGGGGCCGUUUUCACCAAAGCUGUGAGUUACGAUUUUUCAAAUAAAUACAUUUUCCAAUCAGACGGGGUUCUGUUUAGGUUGAACGCGUCCUGAAGCAGACAUCUCUCUGCGCGGAACAUACACAGAGGAGGAAGCGGGGCCGGGGCGAAGCUCAGACGACAUAAAAACUUGUGUAAACACGUUGUCAUUUACGGACUUCGGAAGAGAAAGGGAAUGGGAGAGGAAAAUGUUUAAUUCUCCCUUGAAUCCUGGGGUUCCAGACCCGAGGGAAAACGUGGAAAUUUUAAUAUUCUUUUUCCAUAAGCUUGAUUUGUGUUAGGCAUUGGACAAUGGGCAGCAUCAGGUUUACCUUAAAUAGAUUCCGUAAUUUUGAGGCUGUUACAAACCUAAGAAUGGACAGAGUUUCAUUCCCCCACCCCCCACGCACACACACACCGCACACUCUUAGUU